RNAcentral lists this ribosomal RNA (494 nucleotides) under uncultured bacterium. Its description in RNAcentral is "partial 16S ribosomal RNA". It matches the Rfam family "Bacterial small subunit ribosomal RNA", at positions 28 to 507 of the family's 1533-position model. The record is from RNAcentral.
GACGAACGCUGGCGGCGUGCUUAACACAUGCAAGUCGAACGGAAAGGCCUGCUUUCCCUUGUGGAUUGCGGGUACUCGAGUGGCGAACGGGUGAGUAACACGUGAGUGAUCUGCCCCCAACUUGGGAAUAAGCCUGGGAAACUGGGUCUAAUUCCCGAUAGGACUGCAGGGUGGUGCCUGUGGUGGAAAACGAUUUUCUAGUGGUUGGGGAUGAGCUCGCGGCCUAUCAGCUUGUUGGUGGGGUAAUGGCCUACCAAGGCGGCGACGGGUAGCCGGCCUGAGAGGGUGGACGGCCACAUUGGGACUGAGAUACGGCCCAGACUCCUACGGGAGGCAGCAGUGGGGAAUAUUGCACAAUGGGCGGAAGCCUGAUGCAGCGACGCCGCGUGGGGGAUGACGGCCUUCGGGUUGUAAACUCCUUUCGACCGCGAGGAAGCCACCUGGUUGGAAGGGUGGUGACGGUAGUGGUAGAAGAAGCACCGGCUAACUACGUG